This 224-nucleotide long non-coding RNA is filed under the name Ricinus communis (castor bean). RNAcentral describes it as "long non-coding RNA (RCOM_LNC003573)". Lineage: Eukaryota; Viridiplantae; Streptophyta; Magnoliopsida; Malpighiales; Euphorbiaceae. The record is from RNAcentral.
GGCAAUAGAGUGGAUGCAUCAGGAUGAAUAUGAACUCCUUAUUACAAUCUGAAAAUUGAAGGAUUGGGGCUGACAUCAAACGCUCAUCUCCAUGUUUAAAGGCUUAAUCAUGUUCCGCUCCCUAGCUAUUAUGAUUCUAUUUCGGGGUUCAACGCUUCGCAAAGUGUUUAAUAAUGUGUCUGUAAUAGCCUAUGUGUCCCAAAAAAGAUCACACUACGCUCGGC